Solanum lycopersicum (tomato) is the source of this 724-nucleotide long non-coding RNA. RefSeq lists it as uncharacterized. The record is from RefSeq and is a predicted model, not a curated record. NCBI's taxonomy places the organism in Eukaryota, Viridiplantae, Streptophyta, Magnoliopsida, Solanales, Solanaceae.
GAACAGGUCGAGAUGCGACGUCGAUCACAUCGGGUGGGGCCAUUCUCUCAGAGCAGAGCUUGAAACAAGGGUCAGAACAUUAGACGGGGUUCAACUAUGAAUUUCUUUUGCUGAGGAUCAUUUCAGUGAUUGUGUAGUGGACGAAGUGCUCUUAUUGGAUUGUUCAAUGAAGUUUCGACACUGAGAUGGACGGAUCUUGUAAGUUGUGGAUAAUGAAAGAUUACGAUGUAAAGGAACCUUGCACUGAGAAUUUUACUCUAAAAGAGACUCGUUUUCAUUCAAUUGUACCAAAAUAAAGGUCUGCGGAUGGUAAAUUACUACUUUGCUGCAAAUUGGAUGGUUAUUCUGUAUUUAGGACAUCCAAAGGACCAUUUGGAUUAUGGCCUCAAAUUGAUAUGCGUCAAGACGGUGUGGUUUAAACAAGAAGCUUGAUUUCUCCAAAAUCACUUCUUUCGCGUUUGAUUAAUCAUUUACGAUCAAGAACAUCAAAUAUGUCAUCGAUCAAUUUCUUUUUCUAACGUCAUUUUCUUUAAGUUUUGGUUUUAUAUUUAGUAAAUACUAGACUUCAUGAAGUUGUAAUAGGGCCACUACUUGAUACCCUAUACACUUUUUAGACAUGUUUGAAAAUUGUGUUGCACUGUUCAAUUCUGCUCGAUUUUUUUAAUCUCUCUUGAUUUAUUUUCUCUUUAAUGUCAUUUUAUUUUAUAUGAUUUUGACUUUUAAU